Molecule: long non-coding RNA, 1930 nt
Organism: Glycine soja
Lineage: Eukaryota; Viridiplantae; Streptophyta; Magnoliopsida; Fabales; Fabaceae
Exons: 2
Source: RefSeq, a predicted model, not a curated record
AGUAGGGACGUUGGGGCCUCUUCCCAAUCUCAGUCUUUUGUUUUGUGGGGUGGUGCUGCUGCUGUCUGCUCAAGUAAAUUGGUUUGUUUUAGUUUUGUUUAUAUAUGAGUUUUAAUUUAUCUUUGACCAUAGCAGUUAGUUUAAAUGCCCUUUUGCACAAGUUAAUUUGGGAACAAAAAACAUCUGAAAUGGGUGGCUAAAAAGUGCCAUUAGUGUAGUGUGAGUCAGUGCUCUCUCUCUCUCUCUCUCUUUCUUUGUCUAUAUAUAAGAAGCUAUAAGCGGGUUAGGGUUUUCAGAGUGAGAGAGGGGACAAACCGCAAAACGUUGAGAUGGGUUAGUAGUAGUGUUGAGGGGAAUGUUGGCUGGCUCGAGGCUUUUCAAAGAGGAGGUUCUCACUGGCAAGAACUAUAAGGCUUCGGACCAGGCUUCAUUCCCCUCAAAAAUUGUGUUUUUGUGUUACGGGGGCUUCAUUUCUUCUUGGAUUUGUGUUCAUCAAGUGCCAAAGGUUGUGUUGUGUUGGGUUUUCAUGUUGGAGGCUACAUAUGCAUUAUUAUGUGUGUAUAUGUUUGGUUACAAGUGUGUAAGCUAGCCCUGCAAAGGUUAGGUUGAGAGGAAUGUUGUCUGGCUCGAGGUCAUGGAGAUAUACAUAUGAAAGUGUUAACUUUUCAGUUAAUUUCUAGGAUAAAUUAAUGGAAAUUAAUUUAUACCCUAAAUGAUUCUCGGACCAGGCUUCAUUCCCCCCAGCCAACAUUUGCUACUCAAUAUAUAUACAGCUACUUAAUUUGCGUUUAAUUUAUGAAGAUUCUCAUCUUCAUAGGAUUAAUUGGUAAGGCUUUCUGUUUAAAUUAUUUUAAUUAGUACAUGUUCUUCUGCUAACUAUAUAUAUGCUGCUUUCUAGUUUUUCAUCUUGCUAUCAGAUACCACUGAAGAAGAAGGCUUUUUAAUUUUUAACUCUUACAAGAUUGGAGAAUUUCCAGAAGUAAGGUUACUUAUAUAAACUGUUUGUUAUAAUCUCCUAUGAAGAUAUAUAUACUAUGGUUUACCCCUUUUACUGUCUAGCCUUGUUUCCAUUACACCUGUAAGUGACCUUAUGAAGGCUUCUUCUUCAAAGUUUCCAGCUUGAAAGGACGACUAAACUAAAAGCGAUGAAAUGGCAGGCAUGAGUGCUAAUAAAGGCAUGCUAUGUAUGCAUUCGUUGAUGAAGGUGGUGGAGGAGGAAGAUGAUUCCCUUCCCUUAAUGAAAUAGAAACAGAAAGAGAUAAGAGAGAAGAUAUAUAUGUGCUGAAACAGUUAACGAGAAGAAGUGAUGACAAGAGAAGCUAGCUAUGGAUUCUCUGUCCGUGUAUGCACAAGCUGAUGCAAACUUAACAGAGGAAGAGAAAUUUACUAAUGCUUCCUCUAUCUUCUCUAUGGAUAUGCAAACAAGUACGUGUGUGUGUGUGUCUGAGUUCUGAGAUGUGUGUUUUAGUGUAAAGUAUUUAUGGGGCUUUUAAAGUUGUUGAAAUUUCAGAAACCAUCUUUGGGAAAGCUUGAUUGGAUCAGAAGAAGAAUCAGCUUCCUCCUCCUUUCCGUGGAGUCACACAGUAGUAAUAGAGAUUUUGAAAUUGGAAAUGCAAAAGAAACAAGAGAGAGAGAGAGAGAGAGAGUAGUAAAAUAAAUGACAAGUAUCUGACGAAUCUUGGGAAAUGAAACAGAGACAGAGCUACCCUGGGAACGAUUCAUCGCCAAGCAAGCCAACUUGGUCUCUGUCUCUUUAAAGAGGGGAAACUACUGCCAACCCUUUAUUUCUGACACUUUCAUCAUCAAUUUAUUAUCACCACUGCCCACCUAGGAAUACAGAAUUUUUUUCAAACACAAAUGCCUACUCACUCUUUUAGUCUUAGGACUAGUAAUUAUAAAAUGAAAAACAAAAUCAUUAAAGGUACUAUUA